GACGAACGCUGGCGGCGUGCUUAACACAUGCAAGUCGAACGGAAAGGCCCUUCGGGGUACUCGAGUGGCGAACGGGUGAGUAACACGUGGGUGAUCUGCCCUGCACUUUGGGAUAAGCCUGGGAAACUGGGUCUAAUACCGAAUAGGACCACGCGCUUCAUGGUGUGUGGUGGAAAGCUUUUGCGGUGUGGGAUGGGCCCGCGGCCUAUCAGCUUGUUGGUGGGGUAAUGGCCUACCAAGGCGACGACGGGUAGCCGGCCUGAGAGGGUGACCGGCCACACUGGGACUGAGAUACGGCCCAGACUCCUACGGGAGGCAGCAGUGGGGAAUAUUGCACAAUGGGCGCAAGCCUGAUGCAGCGACGCCGCGUGAGGGAUGACGGCCUUCGGGUUGUAAACCUCUUCCACCAGGGACGAAGCGUAAGUGACGGUACCUGGAGAAGAAGCACCGGCCAACUACGUG
Molecule: ribosomal RNA, 462 nt
Filed under: uncultured bacterium
Lineage: Bacteria
Description: partial 16S ribosomal RNA
Rfam family: Bacterial small subunit ribosomal RNA
Source: RNAcentral